RNAcentral lists this ribosomal RNA (432 nucleotides) under uncultured bacterium. RNAcentral describes it as "partial 16S ribosomal RNA". It matches the Rfam family "Bacterial small subunit ribosomal RNA", at positions 29 to 506 of the family's 1533-position model. The record is from RNAcentral.
AGCGAGCGCUGGCGGCAGGCCUAACACAUGCAAGUCGAACGAACUCUUCGGAGUUAGUGGCGGACGGGUGAGUAACACGUGGGAACGUGCCUUUUGGUUCGGAAUAACUCAGGGAAACUUGUGCUAAUACCGAAUGUGCCCUUCGGGGGAAAGAUUUAUCGCCAUUAGAGCGGCCCGCGUCUGAUUAGCUAGUUGGUGAGGUAACGGCUCACCAAGGCGACGAUCAGUAGCUGGUCUGAGAGGAUGACCAGCCACACUGGGACUGAGACACGGCCCAGACUCCUACGGGAGGCAGCAGUGGGGAAUCUUGCGCAAUGGGCGAAAGCCUGACGCAGCCAUGCCGCGUGAAUGAUGAAGGUCUUAGGAUUGUAAAACUCUUUCACCGGGGACGAUAAUGACGGUACCCGGAGAAGAAGCCCCGGCUAACUUCGU